This is a small nuclear RNA of Octodon degus (degu), 105 nucleotides long. The record is from Ensembl. Lineage: Eukaryota; Metazoa; Chordata; Mammalia; Rodentia; Octodontidae.
GUGCUUUCUUCAGCAGCUCGUGUACUGAAAUUGGAACAAUACAGGGAAUAUUACCAUGGCUUUUACUCAAGGUUGACACAAAUUCAUGAAGAGUUCCAUAUUUUA